CCUACGGGUGGCAGCAGUGGGGAAUAUUGCACAAUGGGGGAAACCCUGAUGCAGCGACGCCGCGUGAGUGAGGAAGUAUUUCGGUAUGUAAAGCUCUAUCAGCAGGGAAGAAAAUGACGGUACCUGACUAAGAAGCCCCGGCUAACUACGUGCCCGCAGCCGCGGUAAGACGUAGGGGGCAAGCGUUUUCCGGAUUUACUGGGUGUAAAGGGAGCGUAGGAGGGAUUGCAAGUCCGAAGGGAAAAACCGGGGCCCCACCCCGGGAAGGGAAUUGGAAAUGGUUUUCUUGGAGUGCGGGAGGGGCAGGUGGAAUGUGUGGUGUAGCGGUGAAAGGCAUAGAUAUCAGGCGGAACACCGGUUGCGAAGGCGGCUUGCGGAACGGCGAUUGACGUUGAGGCUCGAAAGCGUGGGGAGCAAACAGGAUUAGAUACCCGUGUAGUC
Molecule: ribosomal RNA, 441 nt
Filed under: uncultured bacterium
Lineage: Bacteria
Description: partial 16S ribosomal RNA
Rfam family: Bacterial small subunit ribosomal RNA
Source: RNAcentral